Molecule: long non-coding RNA, 1532 nt
Organism: Tympanuchus pallidicinctus (lesser prairie-chicken)
Lineage: Eukaryota; Metazoa; Chordata; Aves; Galliformes; Phasianidae
Exons: 4
Source: RefSeq, a predicted model, not a curated record
CCCCCCGCGUCCCCCCCAACGCUGCGGUCAGGGGGCACCCGACGGGAUGAGCUCCGCCGGGGGGACCCCCCGCCCCCAAGAGUGAGAGCCCCCCACCUGCAGGCGGGAUCCUUCCCCAGGAACUGGAACCGAACCCCCGCUAACGCGACCCGUCCUCCGGGAACGGGACAGCCGUGACCACCGGACGGGACCCCCCCCCCCCCCCCAGCACAUGCGGGACCCCACCACCCAGACACGGGACCCUCACGUUUCAGAGGAGCGAUGCUUCAGGGAUGCCAGGCUCACCCCCAGCUCCGCUCGUUGCCUCGUGCCGCCGUGCAGCCGUGGCCUCGCAGCGGGGAAGAGGCAGAGCAGCUCCUAAUGAGGCUCUGGGAGCACUCUGAGCCUCUUGGCUCGUGAGCAGAGAGCCGCAGGUGGGAGCCCCAGCCCUGUGGACCGUGGCAGCAUAGGCACUAAAACGCAGCCAAGCUUCCAGAAGCUUCUCUCAAAGAAUGCUGCUGCUUAUCUCUGUGUGUUCCUGAUGGCGGCACCCUGGGAGCAUCAGAGCGCUUCUGCAAGGCUCGCCCAAAAUCUCUCACCCAAAAUCUGCAGAGAUGCCCUGCAAGAUUUGCACCAGGCCAAGAAGAGCCAUGUUGGCCAUAGAACAUACAGUCUGCGGAUGGAAAACAAAAGGAAGAGUUGAAAACCUGCUGUGACAAUGCUGGAAUGUCCCCAGAUGUGAAGCACUGCGCUCCUCCUGCGAGGCCACAGCUCUGCGUCCGCACUGGGGACACGUGGCCUAAUCCUGCUGCCUCUGCAAUGGGCAGCGACCAUCCUGCUGCACCCAGCUCUGCUCCAGGCAGCGUUCCUCCCUUGCUCUCCCUGCUCCUUCCCCACGUGCCCUGACCCCCAGGUUUUGCUUUUCAGGGGCUUUGGGUUUUUUUCUCCUUUGUGUCAGAGCUGCCCAGGAACCACACGGUUGCUGUAGGGACCUGCUGGUGCUGCUCAGCCCUCCUUUCCUGUACUGUUUGCACAAGAAAGGAACGGACAGAGUGGAGCAUCUGCAUGGUUUUGAUUUGGUUUGAGUUUGUUUUCUUUCUGUUGGUGGGAAGCAGAGGACAAACACUGCAGAUCCAACAUUUUCUCCUCGUUCUGAUGCCCGACAUUUUGGCUGCGGUGCCAUGUGCCCUGCAGGUCCAAGGCUCCUGGUUGCAGCCCAGUGGGGGAACCCCGCUCUGAACUGGGAAGCUGUGGCACUGCUGAAGGCGUACAAAACAGGGAGAACCUCCCCAGGGUGCAGCUCUGCGAGAUCCCAAAUGCUCAGGGCUUGUACUGUGGAUGCUGUCCACCACGCUUUCUCUUCUUGCAAUUAUUCAGUUUUGGGGAUGGUGGGGGGAAAAUUUGCAUUUCUUUGUCUGUUUUUUGCAAUAUAUAUAUGCAUAUAUAUAUGUAUGUAUAUGUAUUUUAAGUGUCUUUGCUUGUUAUAAAUGUCUCUGCGGUGAGCAGACAGGACCGAGGGCUGUGAGCUCAAUGCAAGGUGUCACUGGAGAAGU